This 637-nucleotide ribosomal RNA is filed under the name uncultured bacterium. Its description in RNAcentral is "bacterial SSU rRNA". It matches the Rfam family "Bacterial small subunit ribosomal RNA", at positions 607 to 1244 of the family's 1533-position model. The record is from RNAcentral.
GCUUAACCGGAGAAGUGCAUCGGAAACUGGAUAACUUGAGUGCAGAAGAGGGUAGUGGAACUCCAUGUGUAGCGGUGGAAUGCGUAGAUAUAUGGAAGAACACCAGUGGCGAAGGCGGCUACCUGGUCUGCAACUGACGCUGAGACUCGAAAGCAAGGGUAGCGAACAGGAUUAGAUACCCUGGUAGUCCAUGCCGUAAACGAUGAGUGCUAGGUGUUGGAGGGUUUCCGCCCUUCAGUGCCGGAGCUAACGCAUUAAGCACUCCGCCUGGGGAGUACGACCGCAAGGUUGAAACUCAAAGGAAUUGACGGGGGCCCGCACAAGCGGUGGAGCAAGUGGUUUAAUUCGAAGCUACGCGAAGAACCUUACCAGGUCUUGACAUCUUGCGCCAACCCUAGAGAUAGGGCGUUUCCUUCGGGAACGCAAUGACAGGUGGUGCAUGGUCGUCGUCAGCUCGUGUCGUGAGAUGUUGGGUUAAGUCCCGCAACGAGCGCAACCCUUGUUACUAGUUGCCAGCAUUAAGUUGGGCACUCUAGUGAGACUGCCGGUGACAAACCGGAGGAAGGUGGGGACGACGUCAGAUCAUCAUGCCCCUUAUGACCUGGGCUACACACGUGCUACAAUGGACGGUACAACG